GGUUAAGCGACUAAGCGUACACGGUGGAUGCCCUGGCAGUCAGAGGCGAUGAAGGACGUGCUAAUCUGCGAUAAGCGUCGGUAAGGUGAUAUGAACCGUUAUAACCGGCGAUUUCCGAAUGGGGAAACCCAGUGUGAUUCGUCACACUAUCAUUAACUGAAUCCAUAGGUUAAUGAGGCGAACCGGGGGAACUGAAACAUCUAAGUACCCCGAGGAAAAGAAAUCAACCGAGAUUCCCCCAGUAGCGGCGAGCGAACGGGGAGCAGCCCAGAGCCUGAAUCAGUGUGUGUGUUAGUGGAAGCGUCUGGAAAGGCGUGCGAUACAGGGUGACAGCCCCGUACACAAAAAUGCACAUACUGUGAGCUCGAUGAGUAGGGCGGGACACGUGGUAUCCUGUCUGAAUAUGGGGGGACCAUCCUCCAAGGCUAAAUACUCCUGACUGACCGAUAGUGAACCAGUACCGUGAGGGAAAGGCGAAAAGAACCCCGGCGAGGGGAGUGAAAAAGAACCUGAAACCGUGUACGUACAAGCAGUGGGAGCACGCUUAGGCGUGUGACUGCGUACCUUUUGUAUAAUGGGUCAGCGACUUAUAUUCUGUAGCAAGGUUAACCGAAUAGGGGAGCCGAAGGGAAACCGAGUCUUAACUGGGCGUUAAGUUGCAGGGUAUAGACCCGAAACCCGGUGAUCUAGCCAUGGGCAGGUUGAAGGUUGGGUAACACUAACUGGAGGACCGAACCGACUAAUGUUGAAAAAUUAGCGGAUGACUUGUGGCUGGGGGUGAAAGGCCAAUCAAACCGGGAGAUAGCUGGUUCUCCCCGAAAGCUAUUUAGGUAGCGCCUCGUGAAUUCAUCUCCGGGGGUAGAGCACUGUUUCGGCAAGGGGGUCAUCCCGACUUACCAACCCGAUGCAAACUGCGAAUACCGGAGAAUGUUAUCACGGGAGACACACGGCGGGUGCUAACGUCCGUCGUGAAGAGGGAAACAACCCAGACCGCCAGCUAAGGUCCCAAAGUCAUGGUUAAGUGGGAAACGAUGUGGGAAGGCCCAGACAGCCAGGAUGUUGGCUUAGAAGCAGCCAUCAUUUAAAGAAAGCGUAAUAGCUCACUGGUCGAGUCGGCCUGCGCGGAAGAUGUAACGGGGCUAAACCAUGCACCGA
This 1155-nucleotide ribosomal RNA is filed under the name Shigella flexneri. RNAcentral's name for it is "partial 23S ribosomal RNA". It matches the Rfam family "Bacterial large subunit ribosomal RNA", at positions 1 to 1197 of the family's 2925-position model. The record is from RNAcentral. Lineage: Bacteria; Pseudomonadati; Pseudomonadota; Gammaproteobacteria; Enterobacterales; Enterobacteriaceae. RNAcentral also lists the same sequence under 1 other name.